Molecule: transfer RNA, 84 nt
Filed under: Candidatus Giovannonibacteria bacterium RIFCSPHIGHO2_02_FULL_46_20
Lineage: Bacteria; Candidatus Giovannoniibacteriota
Description: tRNA-Leu
Rfam family: tRNA
About the family: Transfer RNA (tRNA) molecules are approximately 80 nucleotides in length.
Source: RNAcentral
GCCUCCGUGGCGGAACUGGCAGACGCAACGGCCUUAGGAGCCGUUAGGAGAAAUCCUGUGCAGGUUCAAAUCCUGCCGGAGGCA